RNAcentral lists this long non-coding RNA (702 nucleotides) under Equus caballus (horse). RNAcentral describes it as "lncRNA (ENSECAG00000055234.1)". Lineage: Eukaryota; Metazoa; Chordata; Mammalia; Perissodactyla; Equidae. The record is from RNAcentral.
GGGCCAGGGCCCAGGCUGGCUUUCCUGGGGACAGCCGGCCAUUCUGUUGUGGAGUGCGGCAGCCAUGGACCAGGUGGUCUACAAGCCACGGACCCUCAGACGGAGAAUCAGCCCAACUCCUGCCCCAGAGGGAUGGGUGCUUAGGACCAAGUGGGCGCUCGGAAGAGGAAGCUGAAUAAAUGAAUGGCUGCUGGAAUUGCUCCUGGAAAAGAAGUGACUCUUAUCGCAUGCCUUCUACAGAGAGCUGCGUGCUGGAACAGGCACAAUCUCACUGAUGCUCUCAUUUCAUCUCCACAACCCCAACAAGAGGGUGGAUGUAACAAACAGCCAUAGAAGAGUGUGUCGGUGUCAUUGGUGAAACUGAGAAUGCUAUUCACUAAGCCGCACAACUUUCCUUAUCUCAAGAUUCGCAUGCUUGUUCCUCCUACAGCCGAACGCCAGGAGAGAACGUGUGUCUCCAGACCAGCGCGCGUGCUGUCUUGGGGCAGCUCCACACCCCCGUGGAUGUCAGGAAUUUGGAAAUGAAAUGAACUAUGAUGUUCACUGGCAUGAGCCCAGGCUCUGGGUAAAAUGAGCCUUCCCCUUUUCCUGUUGGUUGCUUUCUUGUUAAAAACAAGAGGUUUCUUAACAUUUUUUUUUUCAAAUUGUUUUAUAGGUUAAUUCUGAUUUUGAAAUAAGUGCAUCUUGAUUGUAAACAAAAAA